CGCACGCACUAGGGGUGUGAGAACUGAGAUGAGGAAUUUCCUCAAACCCUUUGAACCUGAACUAGAUGAUGCUAGCGGAGGAAAGUGUACGAUGUUAUCA
RNAcentral lists this non-coding RNA (100 nucleotides) under Staphylococcus microti. RNAcentral's name for it is "TPP sequence". It matches the Rfam family "TPP riboswitch aptamer (THI element)". Rfam says of the family: Vitamin B(1) in its active form thiamin pyrophosphate (TPP) is an essential coenzyme that is synthesised by coupling of pyrimidine and thiazole moieties in bacteria. The previously detected thiamin-regulatory element, thi box was extended, resulting in a new, highly conserved RNA secondary structure, the THI element, which is widely distributed in eubacteria and also occurs in some archaea. Lineage: Bacteria; Bacillati; Bacillota; Bacilli; Caryophanales; Staphylococcaceae. The record is from RNAcentral.